CUCAUGAUCCCCUGCAGUUGUGAUCUGGGCCAGUGGAUGGCGUGGGCAGAAGUGAUGCAAAUGACAUCCAGAAACACCCACACUCAAGAUUAUCCCCACCGGGAUCCUCACUUCUCAUUCCUUGCCUGCCAGACAAGAAGCAAGAACAGUCAGGGCCCCCUACAAGAUCCCAUUUCCAGAGAGAAGGACUGAGGGCCCUUGGAUAACUCCACAAAGCAGACAUCCAUUUGCCAGCACAUCUGUGAAUAACUGAGACCUAGUUACAUGUGAGGGGAAACGGAAGACAAGGAAAGAGCUCUAGCAGAAUGAGGGCCCAGAGGUACAAAGUCAUCCAGUUUAAUGAAAGGAAGGAGAUCUCAUGCACUGAGGGUGGAGAGCUUGGGAAAGAGCUCCAGGGGAAGCAAGAGAAAGCCAAAGAGCAGAAACUGGACCCCACUGGGGACAGGUAUUUGGCCACUAAUUGCCGUAAAACAAAAUCAGCCCAAACACAACAGCUUCAAACAA
This is a long non-coding RNA of Ochotona princeps (American pika), 504 nucleotides long. RefSeq lists it as uncharacterized. The transcript has 2 exons. Lineage: Eukaryota; Metazoa; Chordata; Mammalia; Lagomorpha; Ochotonidae. The record is from RefSeq and is a predicted model, not a curated record.